ACUUAUUUCUUAAAUGCGCUGUACAUUUCAUUAAUUUUUUAGAUUAAAAACAAAGUAAAUUUCAUUAAAGGCUAUUGAAUGCAGAAUUUAGUUGACGAAAAUACUCUGGCUGCAUUCGCAUCGAAUAGUUACUGAGGUUCAUUGCUUCUACAAUUUUGUUGCAUUCUCAUUUGACAUGGGUGAAAGAUUUAAGAAAGCAGAACAUUUUAUUUGCGAAAAGUUUCCUAAGAAGACUGCAUAAAUCCAGGGGUUUUAGAGAACAGUAUCCAGACUUUUUUGCAGGAGCUUUGUUUACUGUGACUGAAUUUGAAGAAUUUUCAUUUAGCUUCAUUUUCAUUUUCAAGAAUUUUGGCUCUAUGGCCAAUGCAUAGGCUAAGGCUACUGAUAUCCUUCUGCACAGACACUUUGUCCUGCAUGUCGUCCUUGUGUUGAGAAAAAUUCUCCUUACAAAAUCAUAGAUUUAUCGCUGGAAACGAAGCAGAAGAGGGGAAAUGUUUUUCUUUUUAUAUUCCGUUGUCCACAAAAUUCGCCACAACAAUGGCAGGAAUUUGAGUCGUUUCUUUGGUAUUUUCCGGGGUUUUAGGUAAUUUAAAAAAAAAUAAAAAAAAUCAUGGACGAAUCAGGAGGAAUUUUUUAAAAAGAUUUAAAGAUUUUUCUCAUGUUUGUAUCGCGCAUGCAAGUACCAGGGCAGAAUCUAGAUGAGUAAUGGUGGUGAUGUUUUACAAGGCCUAAAUAUCGCUCAAUGGAAGGCAGUAAGAUGUUCUAGCAGAGGGAAAGGCAUAAAUUUUAAAUAGGUAAGUGAAUUACUUCUUCUAUAGUUGAAUGUUCUGCCCUAGCUUGCUGUUGUCCAAUUUACAAAGAUAUUGGCUUCACAACUGACAUUUGCAUAUGCGUAAAAACUCUUUUUAGGGUUUCAUAAUAAAGUCGUAAAAGAAGGUGAAAGCAGCCAUUGGCUCCUCGCUGCUCAAAUCUCUGAUAAGAGACGUUUGUUGUUUUUUGCCCCCAAUUUUUUAUCUUUAAUUCACCCCCGGACUUCGUAUCAAAUUUAUUUCAAAUAUUUUUAUUCAAAUUACUGAACAUUGGAGGCAUUUUUGUUUACUAAUUCAUAUUCAUUUAAGGGUCACUUCUAUUAUUCACAUUUUUUUGGAAAUAUAAAAUCCUUGCACUAGUAAGGGAAGAAGGAGAAGCAAUGCUAUAAUGAUAUUUUUUUAGUAAACAUUGAAUGAGAAAGAAUAUUUACUGAGCUGUGCAAAUGGUAAGCUCAUUGAAACUUCACAUUAAGUUAAAAAUAUUUUCAUUAAAUUUUAAAAGAAGCAUAGAAUAUUUUAUUUAUAAAGUUUGAUAUUUGGUUUUUUGGGGGGGGGAUUACUUGGUUGUGGUGGUAUUUUUUAUUUAAAUGUCAUGACCAAUGAAAACACCAUAUAUUACUGGAUUUUCUCUAAUAUGCAGUAUAAGAAGAAGGCAUCUGGGCAUUUGACAGUGCUGCUCUGUUCCUGCAAUAAAUAGAUCCUAUCACAGGUGCAGGCCAUGAAACCAUUCUCCGUUAUGGGAAAUGCUCAUUUGUGGAAUUAAUAUAUUUAGUUCUUUAACAUAUAUUCCUUACUUCUAAUUAGAGCUGAAAAGACUUUCCUGUAGACAACUUGAGAAUUAAUGCAAUGUAAUAUCAUUGUUUCUGAUAGAAAUUACUUGACAUGAUCAUACAUGUCCCUUCACCCAAAAGGAAUUUGUAUGAUAUUGUGAGCAAACGAACCAUUAAAAAACAAUCCAUUGGUAUGGUUUUUGGCUGUUUUUAAUUAGCCUGUAUAUGAUUUACGUCAAAAUCUGGUAUAAAGUUUGUAAAGUCAGUAGAUCUGUAUUUCUAUUUAUAUUUCCUCUAAUAUGCAAGGAGACAUCAACAUCAACAUAUCCUUUAUAGUAUAGUACUGUGAAACUCAUUAAGGGUUUCAACAAUCUUUGGGGUCUUGAGCAUUAAAUGGAAUGCAUUGGUUGCAGGAUAUGCAUAAAUUAAUUUAUUAAAAGAAAACAUAAAAACUUGUAAGCAAAUGUAGUCGAGAGCUGUGAGACAAGUCUCUAUGAGCAUUUGCCAGCAUCCUUGUAGCUUGUGCAAAAAAUGGUAGAUUUGCAACAAGGUUUUGACACACAUAAAAGUAUAAAUGAAAGUGGAUUUUCUCAAAUGUUGUAGUUGCAAGUCUUGCAUUUUCUAGUAUGCAAAUUUUCCAUAUACAAGUUGGAAAGUUCCAAGGCUUUUAUUAUUCAUUAAUUUCAAUGUUUCAAUUAUUCUGUUAGCUAUUAAUUUAUGUUUUGAUGGAAGCCCAUAACCUUCUCCAAAGCUGCCAUUAUGGUACGGGAAGCAAGGAUACUAGAAAAAGUCAUGGAUUUUAUCUGUACACCUACAAGCUGCAUUUGCUUGAAAGCUUUUUGGGCGUAUGCUACAAUUAUUGCCAGGGAUAUUGUUCUUUUCAACAUAAACAUUACUUGUUCUAUUUUGGACAGAUAUAUACCAUCAAGUAAGUUGAUCUUAUUAUAGGUUGCCAUGUUCAUUAUAUGGACUUUUACCUUUUACUUAUACUUAAAAAGGAUCUUAAGUUUUGAUUGAUGUUUUUUAUGUUUUUUCUUAGGCAAGAAGCCUUUGAACUUAGAAACUCCAGCCAGCAUAUGAAAUUGUAACAUGUACACCCCUGUAUUCUUCUGAAGAGUUUCUUUGGUCCCUGCCCAUAAAAGUCCAUGAUUCCUCAGAAUAUUUGUUGCACUGUAAUUUGUAAUACCUGAGCGAUCCAAAAACUCAAAAUUUUAGUCAAUUCCUUUGCGUCUAUAUUACACAAUCCUUAACAAUCAGUCAAUGAUAGAGCCUUUUUACAAUUUUACAAUAGUAUUUAUAAUUAGCAUGUAUACUUUUGAUGUGCAAACAAAAAAUUUCCCAUAGAAACACUCUGGAACAAUUUUUCACUCCAUUCUGUGCACAUGAUUCAGGGAAAACAAAUCUGAAAAGCAACCAUCAAUAUCUUCUAUCAAGAAUCUAUUGCAUUAUAAUUUUUGUAUUAUUUGUAGCAGCUUGUAGAAGUCUUCAACUUUAUUCAACAUGACCUACUAACGGGGGAUGUCAUGGUAUUUGAUACACAAAGUGAAGUUUUUAUCUGGAUUGGUCAGCAUGUAGACUUUUGAAAUUGGUUAGUGAAGUUUUUAUCUGGAUUGGUCAGCAUGUAGACUUUUGAAAUUGGUUAGGUGAAAGGAAAAAAAUAUAAUAUUUUGUGUUUACAUCAAUUUUCAAUUUUCAAAUGCUCUAUAUUAGAAUGACUUUGUUUUAACUACAAAGAAUUUUUAUAGUUACAAGAAUGUGAAAAUCACUUACUCCUACCACCUUGUGCCCUCAUCUAAUGGAUGCACGUAGUUCUGAAAAAAGUGACUUUUAGCCAAUUUGGAGUUAUUGUCAAUUGAUAGUGCCUGUGAGAUCAAGCCUCUACAUUUUAUUUCAACACUAUAUUCCUUUGAUUGUAGUGUUUAGAUUCACUUGCUUAUCUUUUUUACUGGCUAUGAGAAUUUUUCAUUUGAUUAUUUUUGUCAUUUGUUUUCUUUAGUAAUUCUUGUCAAUU
Long non-coding RNA from Cryptomeria japonica (Japanese cedar), 3590 nucleotides. RefSeq lists it as uncharacterized. The transcript has 4 exons. NCBI's taxonomy places the organism in Eukaryota, Viridiplantae, Streptophyta, Pinopsida, Cupressales, Cupressaceae. The record is from RefSeq and is a predicted model, not a curated record.